RNAcentral lists this small RNA (273 nucleotides) under Octodon degus (degu). Its description in RNAcentral is "7SK RNA (ENSODEG00000023764.1)". It matches the Rfam family "7SK RNA", at positions 1 to 248 of the family's 331-position model. From Rfam's summary of the family: 7SK was discovered as an abundant small nuclear RNA in the mid-70s but a possible function has only recently been suggested. Two independent studies have found that 7SK RNA binds the CDK9/cyclin T complex (known as elongation factor P-TEFb). P-TEFb activates transcription by phosphorylating the C-terminal domain of RNA polymerase II. The record is from Rfam by way of RNAcentral. Lineage: Eukaryota; Metazoa; Chordata; Mammalia; Rodentia; Octodontidae.
GGAUGUGAGAGCCAUCUGGCUGUGACAUCUGUCACUCCAUGGAUCACCGAGGUUGAUUCAGCUGAUCUGGCUGGCUGGGCAGGUGUCCUCUUCUUCCCUCGGGGUUCCUCCCUCCUGCGGCGCUGCCCUGUGGAGCUACAUGCUUGGUCGGCCACCCAGGAUGGAGGAGGAUAUAUGAGUAGCUACACACUCCCUUCCUAGAACCUCCAGACAAGCUUUCCACAAGGGAGAAUUUUCCCUUGCCUAAUGUCAUGAAAUACCGUGGUGUGCUUU